This 590-nucleotide ribosomal RNA is filed under the name uncultured bacterium. RNAcentral describes it as "bacterial SSU rRNA". It matches the Rfam family "Bacterial small subunit ribosomal RNA", at positions 28 to 635 of the family's 1533-position model. The record is from RNAcentral.
AUUGAACGCUGGCGGCAUGGCUAAAACAUGCAAGUCGAACGCGAACGUUCCUUCGGGAACUAGUAGAGUGGCGAAAGGGCGAGGAAUGCAUUCCUAACGUACCCCAAGGUCGAGGAUAGCCCGGGGAAACCCGGAUUAAUACUCGAUGACCCCGUAGCGUCUUUUGGCGCAUCGGGCAAAGGCUUGCUGCCUUGGGAUCGGGGAAUGUCCUAUCAGGUAGUUGGUAAGGUAACGGCUUACCAAGCCUAAGACGGGUAGCGGGUGUGAGAGCAUGACCCGCCGCAUCGGGACUGAGACACUGCCCGGACUCCUACGGGAGGCUGCAGUAACGAAUAUUCCGCAAUGCGCGAAAGCGUGACGGAGCAAUGCCGCGUGCAGGAUGAAGCCCCUCGGGGUGUAAACUGCUGUCAGGGGCUACCAACACAAUGAGGAGCCCCAGAGGAAGGACCGGCUAACUUCGUGCCAGCAGCCGCGGUAAUACGAAGGGUCCUAGCGUUAAUCGGAAUCAUUGGGCUUAAAGGGUGCGUAGGCGGGCCUGUAAGUACUUUGUGAAAUCCCACGGCUUAACCGUGGAAUCGCUUGGUAGACUG